GAAAUGCGAUAAUUAAUGUGAAUUGCAGAAUUCAGUGAAUCAUCGAGUCUUUGAACGCACAUUGCGCCCCCUGGUAUUCCGGGGGGCAUGCCUGUCCGAGCGUCAUUGCUGCCCUCAAGCACGGCUUGUGUGUUGGGCUUCCGUCCCUGGCAAAGGGGACGGGCCCAAAAGGCAGUGGCGGCACCAUGUCUGGUCCUCGAGCGUAUGGGGCUUUGUCACCCGCUCCCGUAGGUCCAGCUGGCAGCUAGCCUCGCAACCAAUCUUUUUAACCAGGUUGACCUCGGAUCAGGUAGGGAUACCCGCUGAACUUAAGC
Molecule: unclassified non-coding RNA, 314 nt
Filed under: plant metagenome
Description: partial contains 5.8S ribosomal RNA, internal transcribed spacer 2, and large subunit ribosomal RNA
Rfam family: 5.8S ribosomal RNA (bases 1-105)
Source: RNAcentral